GACGAACGCUGGCGGCGUGCUUAACACAUGCAAGUCGAACGGUAAGGCCCUUCGGGGUACACGAGUGGCGAACGGGUGAGUAACACGUGGGUGAUCUGCCCUGCACUUCGGGAUAAGCCUGGGAAACUGGGUCUAAUACCGGAUAGGACCACUGCCUGCAUGGGUGGUGGUGGAAAGCUUUUGCGGUGUGGGAUGGGCCCGCGGCCUAUCAGCUUGUUGGUGGGGUGAUGGCCUACCAAGGCGACGACGGGUAGCCGGCCUGAGAGGGUGACCGGCCACACUGGGACUGAGAUAGUGCCCAGACUCCUACGGGAGGCAGCAGUGAGGAAUAUUGCACAAUGGGCGCAAGCCUGAUGCAGCGACGCCGCGUGAGGGAUGACGGCCUUCGGGUUGUAAACCUCUUUCAGCACCGACGAAGCGCAAGUGACGGUAGGUGCAGAAGAAGGACCGGCCAACUACGUGCCAGCCGCCGCGGUAA
RNAcentral lists this ribosomal RNA (478 nucleotides) under uncultured bacterium. Its description in RNAcentral is "partial 16S ribosomal RNA". It matches the Rfam family "Bacterial small subunit ribosomal RNA", at positions 28 to 523 of the family's 1533-position model. The record is from RNAcentral.